GUCUAUGGCCAUACCACCCUGAAUGCACCUAAUGUUGUCUGAUCUUGGAAGCUAAGCAGGGUUGGACCUGGUUAGGUCUUGGAUGGGAGACUUUGGAGAGAAAUGUCACAAGCU
Molecule: ribosomal RNA, 114 nt
Organism: Propithecus coquereli (Coquerel's sifaka)
Lineage: Eukaryota; Metazoa; Chordata; Mammalia; Primates; Indriidae
Source: Ensembl